Molecule: ribosomal RNA, 253 nt
Filed under: uncultured bacterium
Lineage: Bacteria
Description: partial 16S ribosomal RNA
Rfam family: Bacterial small subunit ribosomal RNA
Source: RNAcentral
UACGAAGGGGGCAAGCGUUGUUCGGAUUUACUGGGCGUAAAGCGCGUGUAGGCGGCCUAUUAAGUUAGAUGUGAAAGCCCAAGGCUCAACCUUGGAACUGCAUUUAAAACUGGUAGGCUUGAGUAUAGGAGAGGAGAGCGGAAUUUCCAGUGUAGAGGUGAAAUUCGUAGAUAUUGGAAAGAACACCGGUGGCGAAGGCGGCUCUCUGGCCUAAUACUGACGCUGAGGCGCGAAAGCGUGGGGAGCAAACAGG